UACAGAGGUCUCAAGCGUUGUUCGGAUUCAUUGGGCGUAAAGGGUGCGUAGGCGGCGCGGUAAGUCGGGUGUGAAAUCUCGGAGCUUAACUCCGAAACUGCAUUCGAUACUGCCGUGCUUGAGGACUGGAGAGGAGACUGGAAUUUACGGUGUAGCAGUGAAAUGCGUAGAGAUCGUAAGGAAGACCAGUGGCGAAGGCGAGUUUCUGGACAGUUACUGACGCUGAGGCACGAAAGCGUGGGGAGCGAACAGG
RNAcentral lists this ribosomal RNA (253 nucleotides) under uncultured bacterium. RNAcentral's name for it is "partial 16S ribosomal RNA". It matches the Rfam family "Bacterial small subunit ribosomal RNA", at positions 524 to 776 of the family's 1533-position model. The record is from RNAcentral.